Molecule: ribosomal RNA, 460 nt
Filed under: uncultured bacterium
Lineage: Bacteria
Description: partial 16S ribosomal RNA
Rfam family: Bacterial small subunit ribosomal RNA
Source: RNAcentral
CCUACGGGAGGCAGCAGUGAGGAAUAUUGGUCAAUGGGCGGAAGCCUGAACCAGCCAAGUAGCGUGCAGGAUGACGGCCCUACGGGUUGUAAACUGCUUUUAUACGGGAAUAACGCGCCUUACGUGUAGGGCUUUGCAUGUACCGUAUGAAUAAGGACCGGCUAAUUCCGUGCCAGCAGCCGCGGUAAUACGGAGGGUCCGUGCGUUAUCCGGAUUUAUGGGGUUUAAGGGGAGCGUAGGCCGCAUGUCAAGCGUGCUGUGAAAUGUCCGGGCUCAACCCGUGCCUUGCAGCGCGAACUGGCGUGCUUGAGUCCGCGGAAGGCAGGCGGAAUUCGUGGUGUAGCGGUGAAAUGCUUAGAUAUGACGAAGAACCCCGAUUGCGAAGGCAGCUUGCUGCAGCGGAACUGACGCUGAUGCUCGAAAGCGCGGGUAUCGAACAGGAUUAGAUACCCCAGUAGUC